GACGAACGCUGGCGGCGUGCCUAAUGCAUGCAAGUCGCACGGGCGGGGCUUCGGCUCCGUCAGUGGCGGACGGCUGAGGAACACGUGGGUGACCUGCCCCGCGGUGGGGGACAACCCGGCGAAAGCCGGGCUAAUCCCGCAUACGUUUCCCGCCUUGCGCGGGAAAGAAAGCCGUGAGGCGCCGCAGGGGGGGCCUGCGUCCCAUCAGGUCGUUGGUGUGGUAACGGCGCACCAAGCCGGUGACGGGUCGCUGAUCUGUGAGGAUGAUCAGCCAGAC
Molecule: ribosomal RNA, 277 nt
Filed under: uncultured bacterium
Lineage: Bacteria
Description: partial 16S ribosomal RNA
Rfam family: Bacterial small subunit ribosomal RNA
Source: RNAcentral